UAAGGAAUAUUGGUCAAUGGGCGCAAGCCUGAACCAGCCAUGCCGCGUGCAGGAAGACGGCCCUACGGGUUGUAAACUGCUUUUGCACGGGAACAACCCCCCGCUCGUGAGCGGGGCUGAGUGUACCGUGAGAAUAAGGAUCGGCUAACUCCGUGCCAGCAGCCGCGGUAAUACGGAGGAUCCAAGCGUUAUCCGGAUUUAUUGGGUUUAAAGGGUGCGUAGGCGGCGUGCUAAGUCAGUGGUGAAAGACGAUGGCUCAACCAUCGCAGUGCCGUUGAUACUGGCGCGCUUGAAUGCGGAUGAGGUAGGCGGAAUGUGGCAAGUAGCGGUGAAAUGCAUAGAUAUGCCACAGAACACCGAUUGCGAAGGCAGCUUACCAAGGCGCGAUUGACGCUGAUGCACGAAAGCGUGGGGAUCGAACAGG
This 424-nucleotide ribosomal RNA is filed under the name uncultured bacterium. RNAcentral describes it as "bacterial SSU rRNA". It matches the Rfam family "Bacterial small subunit ribosomal RNA", at positions 355 to 776 of the family's 1533-position model. The record is from RNAcentral.